This 695-nucleotide ribosomal RNA is filed under the name uncultured Paracoccaceae bacterium. RNAcentral describes it as "bacterial SSU rRNA". It matches the Rfam family "Bacterial small subunit ribosomal RNA", at positions 94 to 824 of the family's 1533-position model. The record is from RNAcentral. Lineage: Bacteria; Pseudomonadati; Pseudomonadota; Alphaproteobacteria; Rhodobacterales; Paracoccaceae.
AGCGGCGAACGGGUUAGUAACACGUGGGAACGUACCCUUUUCUGCGGAAUAGCCUCGGGAAACUGAGAGUAAUACCGCAUACGCCCUUCGGGGGAAAGAUUUAUCGGAGAAGGAUCGGCCCGCGUCUGAUUAGGUAGUUGGUGGGGUAAUGGCCUACCAAGCCUACGAUCAGUAGCUGGUUUUAGAGGAUGAUCAGCAACACUGGGACUGAGACACGGCCCAGACUCCUACGGGAGGCAGCAGUGGGGAAUCUUAGACAAUGGGCGCAAGCCUGAUCUAGCCAUGCCGCGUGAGUGAUGAAGGCCUUAGGGUCGUAAAGCUCUUUCGCUGGGGAAGAUAAUGACUGUACCCAGUAAAGAAACCCCGGCUAACUCCGUGCCAGCAGCCGCGGUAAUACGGAGGGGGUUAGCGUUGUUCGGAAUUACUGGGCGUAAAGCGCGCGUAGGCGGAUAUUUAAGUCGGGGGUGAAAUCCCGGGGCUCAACCCCGGAACUGCCUUCGAUACUGGGUAUCUUGAGGUCGAGAGAGGUGAGUGGAAUUCCGAGUGUAGAGGUGAAAUUCGUAGAUAUUCGGAGGAACACCAGUGGCGAAGGCGGCUCACUGGCUCGAUACUGACGCUGAGGUGCGAAAGUGUGGGGAGCAAACAGGAUUAGAUACCCUGGUAGUCCACACUGUAGACGAUGAAUGCCAGUCGUC